CGCCGCCGCGGUAAUACGUAGGGUGCAAGCGUUAAUCGGAAUUACUGGGCGUAAAGCGUGCGCAGGCGGUUCGCUAAGACAGAUGUGAAAUCCCCGGGCUUAACCUGGGAACUGCAUUUGUGACUGGCGGGCUAGAGUAUGGCAGAGGGGGGUAGAAUUCCACGUGUAGCAGUGAAAUGCGUAGAGAUGUGGAGGAAUACCGAUGGCGAAGGCAGCCCCCUGGGCCAAUACUGACGCUCAUGCACGAAAGCGUGGGGAGCAAACAGGAUUAGAUACCCGCGUAGUCCCUGUCUCUUAUACA
This 301-nucleotide ribosomal RNA is filed under the name uncultured bacterium. RNAcentral describes it as "partial 16S ribosomal RNA". It matches the Rfam family "Bacterial small subunit ribosomal RNA", at positions 510 to 808 of the family's 1533-position model. The record is from RNAcentral.